This 1449-nucleotide long non-coding RNA is filed under the name Lonchura striata (white-rumped munia). RNAcentral describes it as "domestica (Bengalese finch) lncRNA (ENSLSDG00000015571.1)". Lineage: Eukaryota; Metazoa; Chordata; Aves; Passeriformes; Estrildidae. The record is from RNAcentral.
AGCCGGGGCGCCCCGAGCGCUGAGCGGCGGCACCGCGACCGCCCCCGCGCCGCCUCCUCCCGCCGCGCCCCGGCGGGCACUUGUUGCAUUGCGAGAGGGCUUCGGCAGCGGGCGGACUUCUCAUCCCGUCCUGGCUGAGUAGCAUCACUGAAGGAGCCAGCUGUUACUGCUGUGGGAGGUCAAGAGCUCCUUCCAGUUGCAUCUUCUGUGUCAUCUGUGAAACCCCCAGUUACAGUCCCCAGUGUGCUGGUUGCAGAGAGGCCACCUUGUCUACUGGGAUCACACCAAGUGCUCUGAGUUCCCAUUCCUCCAUCAGGUUUGGGCCAAGGAGAUGCAGCAAGCAUAAACCUUCAGCAGUUGGACUGACCCAAUUUUAUGCAUGGUUAGUGAUUUUGUUGAUUUUGUAUUGUUAUAUAUUUAACUCUGCAGAGCUUCCAGGCAAGGUUUGAAGAAGAGUGGGAGGCUUCUUUGUUUUCUUUGUUACUGUAAAUAUUCACACAGGAUGGCUGUAUGAUUUGGAGGGUACAACUCUUAAGACCAUGUUUAUUUGCUCAUCCUUACAGCAUUGUGCACAGCACUGCUGUAUAAAGUGUGCAGGAAAAAAAUAUCAAGCCAAAUCUGUUCCUCUGCAGAAAUUUCUUAUAUUGAGUAUUUAAAGUGGUUUUUACAGACUAAGGAGAAGAGUUUUUUUUCUGGUGUAGGGCCUUUUGCAUAAACUUGGUGAAUGAGUGCUGGGGGCAUCUGCUUGGGCUGACAGUGAAUGUGUUUGAUUAUGCAUAUAGUAAGUGUUUGUACUUCAUACAAAAGAAAUGUGAGUCUCCCAGGUAGCAUUUCACCAUGGAAAUCAGGUAGUGUGAAUUGUUAUCUCAAGUGUGUUGUCACAGGGAGGUGAGAUUUAACCAGAAUAGUCACUUCUGCUGUACAGACAAGGAGAUGACCUUGUGGAGAAGUGGCACACUGUGGUGCUCCUUUCCUGACACAAAGAAGGGGGAAAGGCUUCCUGUGUCAGUGUAGUACUUGCACACAGACAAGGAGUCUAGACCAGAAGCUGUCAGGUUGUAGAUUCUGAGAGAUUUAAAAGGAUCUUUGUGCCAUGAAAAGGCUUUCUACCUGCAUGCCUGAUGUUAGGAGUGAAGUUGUUGUGGAGAGGAAUAAUGCUUUGCUUUCCCUGCCAGCGCUUAUAUUUUUUUAGCUCUUCCUGCUUCUUGCCUCACUGCUGACAAGGAGGCUGGUUUGCCAUACUAAACACCUUAGGGCUGACAGGAUGGAGAAAACCUACAGGCUCCUUUGACAGCAGUAAUCAAUAAGAAGUGAAAAAAAUCUCACUCUGAAAAGCCCUUUUCCAGCUAUAAAUGGCAAUGGAAGUCCUGAAGGUGAAACUCUGAUUUUUAGCCCAAAUUGUGAAUGCAGAGGAUCAGGAAUCUGGAACCAGGGAAAAGAUUUGCUAAU